AAAGUAGAUCCUAAGAAGCCAAAAGGCAAAAUGUCCUCAUGUGUGUUCUUUAUGCAAACCUGCCAGGAGGAGCACAAGAAGCACCCGGAUGCUUCUGUCAACUCAGAGUCCUCCAAGAAGUGCUCAGAGAGGUGGAAGACCAUGUUUGCUAAAGAAAAGGGGAAAUUUGAAGAUAUGGCAAAGGCUGACAAGGCUCGUUAUGAAAGAGAAAUGAAAAAUUACAUUUCACUUCCAUCCCCCAAAGGGGUAACCAAAAAAGAAGUUCAAGGACCCAGUGCUUCCAAGAGGCCUUCGCCUUGUUCUGUUCUGAGUACCGCCCCAAAAUCAAAGGCCAGCAUCCUGGGUUAUCCAUUGGUGAUGUUGCAAAGACACUAGGAGAGAUGUGGAACAACACUGCAGUGGAUAACAAGCAGCCCCAUAAGAAGAAAGCUGCCAAGCAGAAGGAGAAGUACGAGAAGGAUAUUGCUGCCUACAGAGCUAAAGGAAAACCUGAUGCAGCGAAAAAGGGGGUGGUCAAGGCUGAAAAGAGCAAGAAAAAAGGAAGGUGAAAAGGAUGAG
Molecule: RNA transcript, 558 nt
Organism: Mus musculus (house mouse)
Lineage: Eukaryota; Metazoa; Chordata; Mammalia; Rodentia; Muridae
Gene name: predicted gene 5176
Exons: 1
Source: RefSeq, marked provisional